AUUGAACGCUGGCGGAAUGCUUUACACAUGCCAGUCGAACGGUAGAGGGGGCAACCCCUCGAGAGUGGCGAACGGGUGAGUAAUAUAUCGGAACGUGCCCAGUCGUGGGGGAUAACGUAGCGAAAGUUACGCUAAUACCGCAUACGAUCUAAGGAUGAAAGCGGGGGAUCGCAAGAUCUCGCGCGAUUGGAGCGGUCGAUAUCAGAUUAGGUAGUUGGGGGGGUAAAGGCUCACCAAGCCAACGAUCUGUAGCUGGUCUGAGAGGACGACCAGCCACACUGGAACUGAGACACGGUCCAGACUCCUACGGGAGGCAGCAGUGGGGAAUUUUGGACAAUGGACGCAAGUCUGAUCCAGCCAUUCCGCGUGCAGGAUGAAGGCCCUCGGGUUGUAAACUGCUUUUGUACGGAGCGAAAAGGUCUCUCUUAAUACGGGGGACUCAUGACGGUACCGUAAGAAUAAGCACCGGCUAACUACGUGCCAGCCGCCGCCGUAA
This 496-nucleotide ribosomal RNA is filed under the name uncultured bacterium. RNAcentral describes it as "partial 16S ribosomal RNA". It matches the Rfam family "Bacterial small subunit ribosomal RNA", at positions 30 to 523 of the family's 1533-position model. The record is from RNAcentral.